UCUGCGGGUGCCCUGUCUUCUCCAG
RNAcentral lists this non-coding RNA (25 nucleotides) under Rattus norvegicus (Norway rat). Lineage: Eukaryota; Metazoa; Chordata; Mammalia; Rodentia; Muridae. The record is from RNAcentral.